CUCUACCCCCUUAGCCACCGUUUGGUUCGGAGUUAAGUAAAAACUUGUUAUUUCAGAAAUAGAGUUAAGUUCAAGAUUAAGGUGGGGUUAGAAUAAUUUUGUGUUUGGUUGAAAAUUGAGUUUAGCCCAGAUAUAGAUAAAAUAAUAUUUGAUUGGAAUAGUUAGGAUAAAAUGGAUAGUGAAUAAAAUAGUACUUUGUUUGGUUGGAGUAGUGAGGCCACCCCCCAAAUUGGGUGUUUGGGAAUAAGUUCGGGGUUAAGGGGUUAUUCCGCCUCUUAACCAACCAAACGGGUGCUUAGAGUUUAAUUAAUUAAUUGUUUUUUCGGUUUUAAUAUCGAAAAAAAAGAAGAGUGAAAAGAUAAGUGGGAUAAUUUUAGGCAUUGAAUAGCGAUGUUGUAAGAUU
This 403-nucleotide long non-coding RNA is filed under the name Ananas comosus (pineapple). Its description in RNAcentral is "long non-coding RNA (ACOM_LNC006607)". The record is from RNAcentral. Lineage: Eukaryota; Viridiplantae; Streptophyta; Magnoliopsida; Poales; Bromeliaceae.